This 1349-nucleotide long non-coding RNA is filed under the name Gallus gallus (chicken). The record is from RNAcentral. Lineage: Eukaryota; Metazoa; Chordata; Aves; Galliformes; Phasianidae.
GUACACAGUGCUCCCCCCCGGCUAUUUACAGGCUAUAAACAGAAGCAGGGCUAGCUUUUCAACUUCUCCUCCAGCUUCAUCAUGUCCAUGGGGGUUGUUUUGGCGACCUCAAAGAAGACCCUGUGUGAGUACUUGGUGCGCACAGCCUUCAGCUUGUCACAGGGCUGGUAGGUGAGCAGAAAGUUCAGCCUUUUCACCAAGGGGUGCAGGUCCUGAGCGCAGUACCCGCUGUAAUACUCCAGCGUGGGGGUCCAGCCACCCAGGUUCUUCAUGGUGAGCGCCAACAGCAAGCUGCUGGCAGCCAGCUUGGAGGGACGCUCCCGUGCGUAGUCGUACUCCUGCAGGGUCAUCUCACAGACAAAACGGGCCAGAGUCAGCGUCUCCAUGGAGGCACGGGCACACUUGGCAAAGCGCCGCAGGAAGCGGUAGGGGAUGGGGAUGUUGAUGUCGAAGUUGAGGGUGCGGAGGAUGCUGGUCUCCAUGGCAAUGAGCUCUUCCCGCUUGUAGGCAUCGUCGCAGAUGUACAGGAAGUCAUCCACGCACGGAGGGCAGCGCUCCUCGAAUUUGGAGGCGAUGAGGACGGCGGUGGAGCCGAUGAGCUGCAGCUUGUCCCUCAUGCUCACCACCUCCACCAGGUAGUGGUCCACCAGCUUCACUGCCAGGUACAGCGUCUCGUGGUUCAGCUCAAAGUUUUCCUGCACCUCCACCAUCCAGUCCACUAGGAUGGCACGCAUGUCCCUGCUGAUGUCUGACUGCUUCUCCAUGUAAUCAGGGAGCAGGAACUUCUCCCUCUCCCGCAUGUAGUCGAAGAUCUCCUUGGCGUACUCAGCAUUGGCAUAGGGGUCUCCCAGCUGCUCCUUGUCUAUGUCCUCCACCACUGGGACCUGCUGCACAGGCUCCUCGGGCACAGAAUCUUUCUCAGGCUCCACAGGAACAUCUGCUGGGGGGGUUUUCCUCAAUGACUUUUUCAGGUUGAUCUCAUUGUUCUUGGCCACUAUGGGGGCAGGGGGGGCCCUCGUUGCUUUGCGGGCGGGAGCUUUCACCCCCUCCUUCUUCCCUGUCACCACCUGGUUCUUGUGAGCGUUGGUGAUGUCCCCAAACGCUGACCUCUUCUUGGGCCCUCCCUGGGGCGAGGAUGGGGAGCGCUUGGCCUGGCAGCCCUCCUCCUUCUCGGGGGGGACAUUCUCGGUAACGGAGGGCGCCUUGCUGGCUCGGGGCUGCUUGCUGCUCUGUGCCUUGCUGCUGCGUGCCACCGGCAUCCUCCUCCUCGGCCUCUGCACGCAGCCGCCGCCGGCCCCGGCUCUUUUGAAAGUAGCAGCGCGGCGACGGCUGCCGGCACUGGUCGAGCC